CAGGUUCAACAGACAACGAACCCUUUGUUGAUACGUGAACUGCAGCCCUAUGCAGAGGAAGAUUACAAAAUAAGAGUUCGUGUAUGCAGACUGUGGCGAGGAAAAAGGAUCAAACCAGAUCGAAAUGAUGGCCUCCAUUGUGUGCUGGUUGAUGAAAGGGGUGACGCAAUUCAUGGCAUAGUCAACGAGGCAAAUUAUUCCUCAGUUUCCAGAAAAUUGAAACAAAGAGAAGUAUACAUGAUCUCGAACUUUUAUGUACGACAGAGUCAAGAUGAUUUUAAAGUUGUGGACAAUUCAAUGCAAGCUCACUUCAAUGGAAAAACAGAGUUCAUACUGCUCCACAACAGCUUCCCACAAAUUCCACAACACCGAUUCCAUCUAUUGGAUUACAGUCAGCUGAAAAACGCGCGCAUUAAUAAAACCGAUCUUCUUACUGGCAAGUUUACGAACUUUUCAUAAAUAACAACAUUAUCCUUACAUUCAUAAUUUCGCAGCUAUUGUUAACACCUCUUUUUUGUAAAAAAAUAAGAUCUCUUUGGUUGUGUGAAAUCAAUCAUGCAAAUUGAGGAAGUUAAUACCAAAGAAGGAUUAGCGUCAAAAUGUGAGAUCAAUCUCCAAAACUUUAGAAGAGAAGAAAUCAACAUCACAUUAUAGGGAGAUAGUGCUAGAAUGGUUGACAUAGAAGCUAUCGAAAGUCUGCCUCCGCCAAUACUCAUGGUGAUAACCAGUUUGAAAGUGAAGAAAUUCAAAGAAUCAGUUAGUCUACUGCAAGGCUUCCAUUCGCACAUUCUCAACACAUGAAGGCUGGUGGUAUGAGGCAUGUCCACAAUGCUACAAACAACUAACAGUGAAGAAAAAUAGUGAUCUACGAAUCUGUCAAGAGCAUGGUAUGCAAAUACCUCUUCCAUGUUACAGGCUUCAUGUCACCAUUGAAGAUCCAAACAGUGAAGCCACAGUAAAGCUUAGAGGAAAACCAGCUGAACAGUUAUUCGGAAUAACUUGCAAAGAACUCUUGAACAAGUGCCCCUAUGCACCACAAGAAACAUUGCCACCAGAGAUAUUACAAACACGGGCAGAUCCAUGUUUUUCAAAUCCAAAUCACUGAGACGAACGACUUCAUAGUAAAAGGAAUCUUUCCAGACACAGAUCAUCAACCAGAUACCAGCACACCAGCUCAUCCACUGUAUGAAAAAAAAAAAAAAAAGAUUGGUUGAUAGAAGCAAGAAACAAUUGUUUGCUACCAGUCCAGAGAAAAAACCCCGCUGGUAACAACUACAUACAUUUCAACUCCAUUUUUCCACUCAUAAAUUCUUUCACACCUUUUAUAACUUCUUGCUUUCACAGUGAUACAGAGACAAGCAUUGAAUCAGCAGCCUCAACACUAGACACUCUGAACAAAGAAAAAAUAGAUUGAAGUGUCAUGACGCUUUUCAUGUAAAUACAAAUGGAGGAAACACCUUUUUGAACAACCUCCACAACUACUUACCACCUUUUUGGCUAGGCUAACAACUCUUCAACAACUGCCGUCACUUUUGGUAUAAAUGUAACUGGAGGAAGCACCAUUUUGAAGAACCUUCUGCUGAUACAUGGUAACGAACAUCAACACCUCUUUUCAGCAAACAGAGGAAAUGUAGCUA
Molecule: long non-coding RNA, 1637 nt
Organism: Rosa chinensis
Lineage: Eukaryota; Viridiplantae; Streptophyta; Magnoliopsida; Rosales; Rosaceae
Exons: 5
Source: RefSeq, a predicted model, not a curated record